Molecule: ribosomal RNA, 452 nt
Filed under: uncultured bacterium
Lineage: Bacteria
Description: bacterial SSU rRNA
Rfam family: Bacterial small subunit ribosomal RNA
Source: RNAcentral
CGGCGUGCCUAACACAUGCAAGUCGAGCGAAUGAAGUUUCUUCGGGAACGGAUUUAGCGGCGGACGGGUGAGUAACACGUGGGCAACCUGCCUCAUAGAGGGGAAUAGCCUUCCGAAAGGGAGAUUAAUACCGCAUAAGAUUGUAGUACCGCAUGGUACAGCAAUUAAAGGAGCAAUCCGCUAUGAGAUGGGCCCGCGGCGCAUUAGCUAGUUGGUGAGGUAACGGCUCACCAAGGCGACGAUGCGUAGCCGACCUGAGAGGGUGAUCGGCCACAUUGGGACUGAGACACGGCCCAGACUCCUACGGGAGGCAGCAGUGGGGAAUAUUGCACAAUGGGGGAAACCCUGAUGCAGCAACGCCGCGUGAGUGAUGACGGCCUUCGGGUUGUAAAGCUCUGUCUUCAGGGACGAUAAUGACGGUACCUGAGGAGGAAGCCACGGCUAACUACGUG